RNAcentral lists this ribosomal RNA (447 nucleotides) under uncultured bacterium. RNAcentral describes it as "bacterial SSU rRNA". It matches the Rfam family "Bacterial small subunit ribosomal RNA", at positions 355 to 825 of the family's 1533-position model. The record is from RNAcentral.
UGGGGAAUCUUGGACAAUGGGCGCAAGCCUGAUCCAGCCAUGCCGCGUGAGUGAAGAAGGCCUUCGGGUUGUAAAGCUCUUUUACCAGGGACGAUAAUGACGGUACCUGGAGAAUAAGCUCCGGCUAACUUCGUGCCAGCAGCCGCGGUAAUACGAAGGGAGCUAGCGUUGUUCGGAAUCACUGGGCGUAAAGCGCACGUAGGUGGGCAGUUAAGUCAGGGGUGAAAGCCCGAGGCUCAACCUCGGAAUUGCCUCUGAUACUGGCUGUCUAGAGUUCGAGAGAGGUGAGCGGAAUUCCUAGUGUAGAGGUGAAAUUCGUAGAUAUUAGGAAGAACACCGGUGGCGAAGGCGGCUCACUGGCUCGAUACUGACGCUGAGGCACGAAAGCGUGGGGAGCAAACAGGAUUAGAUACCCCAGUAGUCCCUGAGCGGGCUGGCAAGGCGCAU